AAGAUUAGUUUGUUUCACACUCGCUCGCUCACAGCAUAGCCUGGAAGUGCAAGGGAGGGGAGGUAACAAACUCAGCCAGAAGAGAGUGCACAGGCCAUUUUGCCCCAGUCACAUCAACUUGGAAGCGAGAGAGAGAAAGAAGGAUAGGGGGGCUUUAAAAUAAGGCAUAAAGACGAAACAAGAGAGGGAGGGAGAGAGAAAAAACUUGCGAAGGUCUUCAAAGAGAUCCUCAAACUCAUCAUUUGAAGAGAAGUGGAAGAACAACAUAGAAGGGUGACUGUUCAUCACCAACGAGGCACUGAGGUUGGCGGCCCUGUCCCCGAGGCGAGGAGAGACAGCCCCUGUGCGAACCCUGAAGUAAAGCCCCGCCUC
Long non-coding RNA from Megalops cyprinoides (Indo-Pacific tarpon), 372 nucleotides. RefSeq lists it as uncharacterized. The transcript is spliced from 3 exons. NCBI's taxonomy places the organism in Eukaryota, Metazoa, Chordata, Actinopteri, Elopiformes, Megalopidae. The record is from RefSeq and is a predicted model, not a curated record.